Molecule: long non-coding RNA, 1536 nt
Filed under: Phasianus colchicus (ring-necked pheasant)
Lineage: Eukaryota; Metazoa; Chordata; Aves; Galliformes; Phasianidae
Description: lncRNA (ENSPCLG00000001472.1)
Source: RNAcentral
CUGAGGUGGCUCAAAGAGGCACAGUCUUAUCUGUAAUUAUACGUUUAUAAUUACAUUUAGAUUUUAAAGUAAACAUUUUCAUGCAUUACUGUAAAUAGAUCGUGUGUUAUAGAGAAUAAGGCUGUCUCACACUGCUCUGCAGCCCAAAUUGCCAUAUUGAAAACAUGAGCUGUAAAUAGGGAGCUAUUGAAAUCAGUCAGUUACGGGCUAUUCAGUUUCAUAGAAUCAGAGAAUGGUUUGGGUUGGAAGGGGCCUUAAAACCCAUCCAUUUCAAUACCCUGCUGGGUACCCCACCAGCUGAGGCUGCCCAGAGCCCAUCCAACCCAGCCUUGAGCACCUCCAGGACAGAGCAUCACUGCCCUCUGAGUAGAGAACUUCUUCCUGCUAUGUAACCUAAAUCUUCCCUCCUUUAGUUCAAAUACAUUCCCCCUUGUCCUAUCACUAUCUGCCCAUGUAAAAAGUUGUUCCCCUUUAGACACUAAAACAAAGCCUAAAACCCUAUUCUGGCCCCAGAUUAAAGGCUAGGGCAAUUGAGAUAGAGAAGCAUUGUUUUUCAGUUGUAUUCACUUCUAAAAGUAACUAUAAUUCUGUGGAUCUGGGACACAAAGACUGUUCUCACCUGAAGGACCUCCAGUGCAGGAAGAGCACCUAGUGAGGGACAACCACGUACCAGAGGCACCUCAGCACGACUCUUAUGACAACACCAGGAGGCAGCAGGGACCAGCAGCACUGAUCUGCAGCUGGUACCAUGGCUCCUGACCUGCUGUGUUGAAACUGUGCAUCACUUAACAUAUGGUCCCAAAUGUAAUGCUGAGACUCCCACCAGCAAGGAGAACCUGAGGACACAGAAAGCACUGCUGAUGGAGCAGCAUCCACCAGGGUCUGGCUGGGGUGCAAUGGGCACCAAUGGGCUGCAGAGGAGGUGAGCGUUAGGCCAGAACAAAGGAAAGCAUCGAUCUGAGUAUUGCACAGUGCUAGAGAGGAAAAGAGCAACCUCUCUUUAGGAGGGCAGCUUCUAUAAGCUUAUCUGUCACCAACCACUGCAUUUUGCAGUUUGGACUGUGAGGUGCCUUGCAGUCACACACAGCUGCUCGUUAACUGCACAGACAUCACACUGUAAUGAGCCUGUGAUUCUUGGAUUGCCUUGAGAAUAAUUCUUGCCUUCGAAGACCUGAGAGGCUGUGGAUCUUAGCAUUUGCUCUAAUUGCUGUUAACUUCAGAUCUGUUUUAAUGAGCAUGGCAGUAGUAGCUACAAAGAAAACCCUCUACCAAAAUGUCAGUAAUUGAAAAAAAUCAGAAGUCUUCAUCUAUGCAGAGAGACUUGAACAUGUGUGGAGCUUUUAGGUUCUUGGUUUAAAGAAGUGUAAUCCCAGAGAGAGAAGGUGUUCUGCAAAACAGCAAGCAGACUGUGCAAAUCGCUUUCUGAUGGAUUUCUGGAGGUCCUAAACGAUUGUUAGUCUAAUCUGGUUUAAUUCUUAGAGUUAUCGAAUCAUUAAGGGUGGCAAAGACCACUAAGACCAUCAAGUCCAACCCAUC